This 399-nucleotide ribosomal RNA is filed under the name uncultured bacterium. RNAcentral's name for it is "bacterial SSU rRNA". It matches the Rfam family "Bacterial small subunit ribosomal RNA", at positions 29 to 429 of the family's 1533-position model. The record is from RNAcentral.
AUUGAACGCUGGCGGAAUGCUUUACACAUGCAAGUCGGGCGGCAGCGCGGGGGCAACCCUGGCGGCGAGCGGCGAACGGGUGAGUAACACAUCGGAACGUACCCUGUCGUGGGGGAUAACGAAUCGAAAGAUUCGCUAAUACCGCAUACGACCUGAGGGUGAAAGCGGGGGAUCGCAAGACCUCGCGCGAGAGGAACGGCCGAUGGCGGAUUAGCUAGUUGGUGGGGUAAAGGCCCACCAAGGCGACGAUCCGUAGCUGGUCUGAGAGGAUGAUCAGCCACACUGGAACUGAGACACGGUCCAGACUCCUACGGGAGGCAGCAGUGGGGAAUAUUGGACAAUGGGCGCAAGCCUGAUCCAGCAAUGCCGCGUGUGUGAAGAAGGCCUUCGGGUUGUAAG